Aedes albopictus (Asian tiger mosquito) is the source of this 8847-nucleotide long non-coding RNA. RefSeq lists it as uncharacterized. The record is from RefSeq and is a predicted model, not a curated record. NCBI's taxonomy places the organism in Eukaryota, Metazoa, Arthropoda, Insecta, Diptera, Culicidae. The transcript has 3 exons.
UCGGUCUCGCGCGUGUUGGUUACCUAUCCGUGUCCGUGUCCGUGCGUGCUCGUUUCAUCGGCGGUCGGUGCAGCCGAUUCUCACUUUCGGUAGAGAACGCGAUUCGUCCGGACGUGCGGAUCUCCGUCGGUGUUGUGUGUACGCUUCUCCGGAAACAUUCUAGUGUCGAGGACGCGCUGUUUUUCAGGGGUUUCGAAUUCGGUUCCAGGUUUGUUUUUGACUUGAAAAUAGUGGAAAUUUCGCCGCCGCCGUCGCCGGGUUAGUAAUCGAUUCCAUCGAAGGGUGCGGGCUUCCGUCCGUCGUCAAGGAUAUUCCGCGAGUUCUAAGCAAAACAUCGGAAGCUGUCAGAAUUUGCGGGGGUUGUGAGGAUUCGUGGAAAAUGGGAUGAUAAUACCGGAAGAUUGUGAAGAUUUUUGAAGCGAGUUUUUUCAAGGGAUUCGGUCAGAAGGGAGAAGAUCCGUCUUAGGACAUUCCUACGCAUUUUGAAGAUGUUCAUUCGGUUGCGUUUGUGAUUAUCCUCCGGAAAGAUUCGGAAAAGUGUUGGAUGUUUUUGUGCAAUAAUUGGCUGAAAGAGUGCAAAAAGCAGAAGUGAUUUGUGAAGAAAAUUGAUUCAAGAAAGCGAAGAUUUUGCCCGCAAAAGCCGAAUAGAUCCUCAAGAUCGGCAUUCGGUCGAUUAAGAUCAUUGAGAUUGUUGCGUUGAGCGAAUGAAUGGGUGAAGUGAAGCAAUAGCUGCCAAAGUAAGAAAAGUGGGCAGAAAGAAGAGUGUGGUUUUGGUCAAGGUGAGAUUUUUCUGUGGAAGUGUGUGCCCGAGUGAGACGGCGAUAUAUAAACAAAAGAAGCAAAAUAACGUCGCAUCAGCGGGAAGAAGGAGAAAGCGCGAAUAGAAUAUUGGGAAGAAGGAAGAUUCCUGUCCAGCCAGAGCCGCAUCGAUGUUUUGACAGCUCGUAGCAAUGCGUUGAAUGAUGUGCUGAAUGACUCUGCAAUAAUAUAAAGGUAUAAGCUCUAAAAGAGUAAGCAGGCUCCUAUUUUCCAGGUAAUUUAUAGAAGGGUUUUGAUUUUCUUGUGUCAAUUUACGUCCAAAACAUGUAGAAAUUUGAGAAUGAUAAAAAAUGUAGCGUCAUUCAGAAGCCCUUGACCCGAAGCUAAUUUUUACGUAUAAAAUUUAAUAAUUUCCAUUUAAAUACACAUACUAGAUGAUAGUUAACCAUCUCAAUGUGUUUGCGAAGUUUGAGUACUGAUCAAGGGCUAUUACAUGCGGCCAUUCACUAUUUGGAAUGGUGACCUUAUAUGGCAACACUGAUCGAUCUGCAUAAGAUCAUGUGGGGUCCCAAAUAUUCUCCGGGGGUGCAAAACUUCGAAACAAACAAAAAAAUAUCGAAACUCUACGGUAAUUUGUCUUCGAAAAUAACCGAAGAAAUUUAGCCUCCCGAAAAUUUAAAUUUACCGGACGUUCGGUAGUCGUACACAUUACCAAUAGUUCAGCUGUUGAAAAUUCUGUAAACAAAGUUCAAAUACUGUUGAAUAAUUUAAGUGUGUAUCUCACUAGGAUUUAGGAUAAUUAUCAAUAUUUGAAUUUACAUGAUCAGUGUUGCCAGCAAUAGCAUAAUUCUUGUGUCACAAUAUGAAACAAUGUACUAUAACAUUGUAGAACAUUCGAUUUGCCUAUAUCACAUCGGAUUUGAGCUAUAGAGCUCUAUUUGAAUCUGCAUGGGCAGUGUUGCCAGCAAUAAGAAAAUGUGUCUCAAUGUGAAACAUUGUACUGUACUUGAAGUGCCCUAUAACACUGUCGAUGUCUCACAUUAUGCAGUGCUGCCAGUUGAAAUGUUAAUUUUGAAGAAUUACAUUUAUUUUUACAAAAGCAAGUACUCAAGGUAAAUCUAGAUAACUUACUGAUAAUGUGUCACGUUACUUCAAACUACACACCUUAAAAUUCUGUAAUUUGCACGAGACAGAAACAUCAAAGAACGUAAAUAUUUUCAAGACUGAAUCACAAAUUGGACUGAAUUUUACGCGCAUCAUGUAAGUCCUGGUUGGUUGCGUUAGGUGUCAACAAAUCCACUUCACUAGAAACGUAGAAUCAGUAUCAUAUUCAUCUGCCUCCUUUUAACUCGGUGAAAUAGCCGAGAGGUAAGAGAUGUGGCUCACAAUCAACAGAUCCUGAGUUCGAAUCCAGGCAUGUCAGUAUUUUACUUUUUUAUGUUUUAUCUAUCAGAUCGGUUCUAGCGAUUGCUAGACGCCAAGAAAAUAUAAAUUCUGGAAGCCGUAAAUUUACAUGUUUUGACCUCUAAAUUUGUGUCUUUGAAGACGCUCGUAUAUGUUAGGUUCAGGACACCUAAAAUUACAUGAUUUUUUCUAGGUGUGUACAAUAAACAUGAACACCAUACCAAUCUUAAGGGAUGUAGAGAUAAUUCCAUUUUCUAAAUCUUCAUGCCAAACUGGGCCGAAAUCCAAAUUUUCAUAAAUUUUGGGAAUCUAUUUAUAAACUUAUUCGAAGUUCGUAUGGCAGCGAUUUUAAUGAUCACCCCUCGUCGUAUUUUGUACUGAGCGAAGCUGUCAAGCAGUUGCCCAACAGUCAAAAGGUUAUUUUAACAAAUCUGUUUGAUAUUGAUUUUAGGCACCAAAAUAAAUCUAAAAAAAUCUGAAAAAAAAAUCAUGGUGGCUCAGAGAUAGAUACUCAAAAAAAACAACAACUGUAGUGAAUUACAUAUUCAGAUUUUUAUUCACAGUUCGGCAGUGUUGCCAACUUUAAAUUUGUUUUAUUAUAUGCAACCUGAAAUAUCGUUUACCGUUCUCCUUAAGUUCACUGUUAGUACUUAUUUUGAACUAUUGUAUGUUAAAUUAAUUUACCUGAAACGUGAUAACUGUAAUGUAAGAGGUUUAGGUAACACUUCCUUAAAAGAUAAUUAUUUCUCACUGCAGGUGUACCUGAAUUAUACAUAACUUUUGAAAAGAAGGGUAGGUUUUGUACCUCUUGGAGAAGUGACCCAAUUGUUGGAAUUCCGCUCCCAGGGGUUUUCCCUACUCCCAAUAAAAUAUAUAAGAACUGAAAAAGUUAUGCUGAUGUAUUGCAGACAUUCAUAUGUAUAUAUUUAGCAAGAUGGUCAACAUUGUCGAAACGUAGGGACGAAUUUAAACUGUUGUCGUUCCAAAGAGUUUGAUGACUGCAUAGCCGAGAAAUCCAACAUUUAGCAAUAUAUGAUUCUAUUUUGGCAGUGUUGCCAUCUAACAGAAGGAAUAAUGAUAUCGCGAGCUAUCACUGGUUGGCUUCUGUUGUCCUUUCGAACAUAUUACAUAUGUAUAUUUAGAAAAUUAUUCAAUAUUUAGAGAAUUGAUUGAAAUGGAUGUUAAUAGAAAUUUGAACGUAAAUAAGUGUACCUAAAGUAAUUUGGUGUAAAAUAACCGGACGUAAAAUUAAGUCGGACUGUACUAACUUCUUUUAGCCAAACAAUUUAUUUUUUUUUCUUUUUUUUUAGAUUUAUUUAAGGGACGCUUUCGGGAGUCCUUGGGGUAAUAUGAUUUUAAAAAGGUGUUAGAUCAGUGGCAUACGAGUUUCGACAUUAGAAUAUUAGGCAACAUAGUUAAUUAGCAUUGACAUAAGCAAUAGCAUUAGGAUUAAACAAGUCGCACAAAUUCAUAGGUGGUAGGUACAGUCCUUGACCAGUCCGUUACCAACGCACAGCGAUUUGGAACUAAUCAUCGAUUCUAAGACAAGAUUGACGCAAUCUUCCAACGGCCGGGAACUGUUCUGGCCACGUCCUUGCGACAGUUGUGGGAUGGGAAUGGAAGAUAAGUUGGAUACCUAAGAAAGGCAUAGAGUCUUCUCUGGCUCAGAUGCCACGGGCAUUUGGGUGAAUGUUAGUGUAGGGAUCAAGUCCAAAGGAUACGUUCGGUAAACGUUUAGGCGCUAAAGUUUCAAAACGAUAUGUAGGAACAAACUCACCAAAUUGUAGACUUCCAUCCUAGCUGCUGACCAAAAAAUCACAUGGAAAAACACAAACACGAAGAUAAACUCUGGCAUCCUGGACACUGGUUUCUUGGACAAAAAAUAACACACACGCCACACCCGCGCUAAAAAAAGAUUCAUACUACCGGCGUUCAAUGGCGAUCGCGACACCCUACAGCGCUGCCAAAUCAUACAAGUUAUUGCUAAAAAUGCGACACAUCGAUUAAAAGGACUUCCGACUGAAUAAUCAAUCAAAAUCCUAUUUUUCCACGUUAGAAGUUAAGAUCCGAGUGGCAGAGCUCUUGCCGAAUCAAAGAAAGAAAGAAUCGCGAAAGUAAGAAAAUAAAAAAAUCUUAUUAGGCAACGUAGCUAAUUAUUCCAAGAUAGAUUUUAUUAUUUUGUUUUCAGUGUUUCUUCGUACAUGGCGACCGUGACAAUACUUGCAUUUUCAUGGUUCAAGUCUUUCACACAGGAGUUUUCAAAAAUUCAAGCUCUGCAAUUUAAAAACGUCUCUCUCUCUCUCUCUCUCUCUCUUCUUGGCGUAACGUCCUCACUGAGACAAAGCCUGCUUCUCAGCUUAGUGUUCUAUGAGCACUUCCACAGUUAUUAACUGAGAGCUUCCUCUGCCAAUGACCAUUUUGCAUGUGUAUAUCGUGUGGCAGGCACGAAGAUACUCUAUGCCCAAGGAAGGAAAUUUCCUUUACCAAAAUAUCCUGGACCGACCGGGAAUCGAACCCGUCACCCUCAGCAUGGUCAUGUUGAAUACCUGUGCGUUUACCGCCUCGGCUAUAUGGGCCCUGAAACGUCAACCCUAUCGAAAGACACACCAUAAAGUUUUCCGAGUUUCAAUCUACUGUUCGAUGCAUAAUGUCAUUAUUGGCUUAAUCAUGUACAAAAACUACCAGAGCCGUUCGUUCCCAGGACAUUGGUCACAGUGUGCAAACUUUAUCUUUCCAAAGUGCUCUUGGAGCAAUAGCACUGUGAGAGAAACCAGCUAGCAGCCCCGUCUGCGCGGGGUCUGAUCUUUUGAACUUUGACUUUUGUGCCGAAACUGAUGCUGAUGCAGCUGCAUCCAAAAGUCUCAUCAACUAGCUAGAACUAUGGGUACAUUUGCUUGCUUGCCCGAACGUCGAACGCACGACAAGAUAGAAGCUUAAAACAUAAUUUUUAAGUACCCUAUUACUGCAAUACGUGCUCAGCAGCGAGGCGACAUCUAGGUAUUCUGGGAAAGUGACGAAGACCGAAGAAACUCACUGUUGGUUGGCGGUAGAUACGCGACUCGAGAGUGCGCGCUAGGAUAAUUUUUCAUAGUUCCAUAAAUAGUUUUAAUUAGGGUGAAAGUUUUUCGCUGACGUUGCUGCCCCGCGAGCCGGAAGGCGAAGGUGUCGUCCUUGGCGACGAUGACGCCGCAGCCCGCGCCUAGCGGAGAUCGAUACGUUCGAUGGAACAAGGCGGCAAAAAUCGUGGGCAUCCUUUCUGGCGUCCUUCCGUCUGCCUGUCGAAGACAGACAAGUUCGUUCGCUGCUGCUACCGGGAAAGUUAAUUAUAGUUGUUUAACGGGAUUGCUGUCGGGACUGGAUGCGCUUCUCGAGCGGAAAAUGCCAUUAGGAAGGGGUUUUCGAGUCAGGGGGAAAGAAAAGUCAGUUUACAACACAUUGUAAACAGAUGUGGUUGAUUAGGGCUUGGUGGAACGAAUCGAUGCUAUUUAUGCAAGAUUGCGGUAGAAUGAGGACCAGAACUAACUAAUGAAAGUGAACUCAUUUCACUAUCCAUAUCGAAAGUAGCAUAAUAGUUAUUUAUGUAACGAGUUGCAAAAGUUGAUUUUUUCAGCACAAGUCGUACAUUUAUCCAACGAGGCCUGCCGAGUUGGAUAAAUACGAUGAGUGCUGAAAAAAUCGAGUUUUGCGACGAGUUCUAUACAAAAUUUUAUGCAAUGAUUUUUUUCAUAAUGCAUCCCAUUUUAGUUGCAUAAUGUUCAUAAUGCAACUCAAAUGAGUUGCAAUAAGAACAUUAUACAACAAUUUUUCAUUAUGCCAUUCGUUUCAGUUGCAUAAUGAACCAGUUCUGAAAAAUUGGCCAUUAUGAUAACAAAAUGAGUUAGAAAAAGUAUAAAUUAUGAUACUAAAUUGCAUAAAAAAGUUUAUUUAAUCACGAAAACAAAUAAGGGAAUUGCAGUUAUUUUUCUUUCUGAUAAAACUAGGAAAAACAAAACCAUCAAAAUUUAUAUUACUGGGUCAACAAAAUUUCACGAAAAAACUAUGCUUUAUCCAUCCCUUCGCGGCAUUUCAUCCCGAAUUCAAUCGAUAGGCAUUUUUCCAACAUUAGAUUCACCGGCCAUCCUAAUUAACGCCACAUUUGUUUUCAUUAGGGAGCCCAAGGGCGAAGCCCAUCCAACCUAAACUGAUUACCGAAGCGCAGUAGACCAACACCAUCGUCACCAUCAUCAUCACCGUCAGCGCCGAUAAAAUAUCCACGUUGCGAUAAUUACAACAAUUAUGAUAAUCAUGUCGAUUACUUCGUGCGCUUAGGGCAGCAAAUAUUGCACAAAUGAACAGUCAAUAAUUAAUUAACAUAGCUGCUGCCAACUGGACCAGAAGCAGCAGCGUGGGCACCGUUUGUUGGUAUUGUGUUUAUGUUUGAGGAGUCCACAUUUUUUUCCCUACAAUAAUUUGCAGACUGCUACAAUUAAACUGUUUAAAUCACGUUGAUUUACUCUAAAGGUUAAAUUUACCCCGGGCGACCAAAACGGUCCCAUUUGUGCGUGACCAAAAGUUUAGGAGAGGGUAGUCGACAGUGAGGUAAAUAUAGGGGAUUUUUAUUAUUAUCGUACAUAUUGGUACGAAGGUUCUCAGAAUUUUAUGAAAUUUUGGUCACAGGUAGGGUUCGUGUAUAUACAGGGGGUGGCCAAAAUGUUUGGGAUUGCCAACUUUUUUUUCUUCCACAAAAAAUCAACAUGCUGUAACUUUUCAUUGACUGCAUCAAAAAAUCUCAAAUUUUGACUGUUUAUCAACCUGUUAUAUGUGCAUGAUUGGUACAAAAUUGGGCUCGAUUGAAUAAUUUUUCGCGAAGUUAGAACCGUUCGGGUAAAAUACUAGGGGGAUUCACUUAACAGCGUAAACUGAUUAAACUGAUUAAACGUCGCGAUCACCAAUGCAAUCUUUGAUUAUUUCAUUCGCAAAAUCAUGAAACAUUUCAAAUAAGCAGAAAAUCAUGGCUUACGCAGCAAUUCAAUCUGUUUAGUAAGUACCCCUACUAUUUUUUAGACAACUUAUUUUUGAGCUGUCAUAUCUCGGAAACCAGUGAACCGAAUUGAAUUAUUUUUUUUAACGUUUAUCAACAAUAUAUUGAUACUGAAUACAACGUUAUAAAAUGUAAUAUUUUCUCACGGCAAAUUAAGUUACAUCGGGUUGAAAUUCUUACCCAUAUAGAGGAAAAUAAGUCAAAUUUACAAUACCACACAAAAAUUACUGAAUGUGUUCUUCCUUUAAUCUAAAUAGGCUCUAAUAUAUCUGAUUAAAGAUAACUUGAGAACAGAAGUGGAAAAUCUUUGGACAUCAACACUAAAAUUUAUUGACAUUGACGUAAAAAAAAAAAUACAUUUUUUCGAGAAAAAUCCAACAAGUGUUAACUCAUGAUAACUUUUUUCAACGUUCAAAAAGUAACUAUGUUUUAACAGAUUGUGAAGCAUUUGUAUAUUGUUAGUGUAUAUUCAAAAUUUCAUUUAAUUCGGUUCACUGGUUUCCGAGAUAUGACAGCUCAAAAAUGAGUUGUCAAAGAAAUAGUGUUUUACCCGAACGGUUCUAGCUUUGCGAAAGAUCAAUCAAUCCAGCCCAAAAUUGUACCAAUGAUGCACAUAUAAUAAGUUGUCAGUCAGUCAGUUGAUGCAGUCAAUGAAAAGUUAUAGCACGUUAAACUUUUUUGUGAGAGAAAAAAAGUUGCCUAUCCCAAACAUUUUGGUCAUCCCCCAUAUAAACAAAAACUGAAUUGAAAAAAAACAGGGUCGCCUAAUUUUCCGAAAACCUCCAGUGGAAAACAAAAAAUUUCCACAGACUCCACCUACUUUGAAAAACCAUAACUCAAAAACGAAGCAUCGGGGACAUAUUUUUUUGUGAAAUCAUAAGCUUUUGAAAAAAAAAUAUAAAAUGAAAAUUGUUUUCCACAAAAUUUUUCACUAUUGAAGAAAAUCGGUUGGAAAAGUCGGAAAAACUAUUAAGGAAGUCCGGAAAAAGAAUCUGAAAAAAAAUAAUCAUUACAUUAGCUUUAUUCUGUGAAAUUUUCAAGAUGUGGAUUUGCUUCGUUUCUGAGUUAUUGCCAAUUUUGUGGAAAUUGUCCAGAUGUUUGCUUAAAAAUCAUAACUUAAGAAUGGAAUAUCGUAGACGCAAUGUUUUUUUGUAAGACCGUAAGCAAAUUUUCUCAGCAAUCCUAAAAAAUACAAAAUGUAGGUUGUUUUCCGCGAGAUUUUCCACUGUUGAGGAAAAUCGGUUGGAAAAGGCGGAAAAACUUUUUUCGAGGUAGGGUGCGGGCACCGGUUUUGGCCAGUCUAAGGGAAAUCAUUUUUAUAAAAAUAACCAAUAAUCCUAUGAAAACAACCAAUGCGUCAAAAGAAAGGUUUCAAUCUAUAUUUUGAAGGAAAAAUGCAGAAGUCAUGCCAAUACUUGAUUUUUGUAUUAAAAGUGGCACUGGCCAAAAUAGAAGCUCUGCCGCAGUUUUGGCCAUAUUCUUAAGUUUGGUUUCUAUUUUGGCCAAUCACGUGUAUUUCUUAUGGGAGUGGCCAAAUUAGAAGCACCCUGGCCAAAAUAGAUAUUUGGGAGCAGAUUUUUUAAGGAAAUAUAUUUUUUUCUUCCAGUUUUUAAUCAAAAUGUGUGGUUUUCACAGCUGUAAUCAUCAUAUUGUAUUAGGAUCUA